Molecule: long non-coding RNA, 1104 nt
Filed under: Cyanistes caeruleus (blue tit)
Lineage: Eukaryota; Metazoa; Chordata; Aves; Passeriformes; Paridae
Description: lncRNA (ENSCCEG00000018219.1)
Source: RNAcentral
UUUGCAAUGGAUGGAAAUGUUCAAAUCACUGGUACAUCAGUGGCACAAAGGGCAACUCUUCUCAUGGUCCAUGCAGCAGCUAAGGACAGGGUAAGGGGUAGGAGCUGCUGGCUCCAGCCACAGACCUGCUUCAGCCAUUGCUGAACAAUUGCUUAGUUUGUCUGUUCAUUGCAUUUUUAAAAUAUAAACUGGAAGUAAUCUGGUUUGUUGAUUUCAUUUGCUUUUACAAAAGAAAAAAAGAUGACAACACAAAUGACUACUUGAUACAUCUGUAAAUGCAUCAGGCAAAUGGUAUCAGGCAAAGUGAAGGUAUGUUUGGGGUUUUUCCCCUUGAAUAUUUUAUUAAUAUUCCUGUGAUUAGCACUGAGCAAGCUGAGACCUGAAUUUCUGCUGCUGUGCUAAGGCAACAGGAGACACCUCCCUCAGCCAAAUUUCUAGUGAACUUUCUGAAGACAACAAUGGGGAAAGCACCACAGGAUCCCUAGGGGAACAACACCAUCUCCUGACAUUUUUAGACGAAUUGCUGGGGAAGCCUGACACUGAGGCUGCUGGAUUCUGUGGAAUUAACAUUAUCUCAACUUCAGCUUUCCUCCUUGAAUCUAACUCUGUAUAAGUAGAAUGCAAAGUGAUUUUUUUGUAUAUGUGAUAUGAUAAUUAAAGUUAACAUUUUCUCUGCACUUGCUACUCUGAACUGUAAAGGAAAGCCAAAUGAAUUGUCAAGGAGACAUAGUGGAAAUUAAUGAUGGGGAUAGAACUCAGAAGGGCUCUGGACAUCUGGGCUCAGUGCUCUGCUGAACACCAGUAAUUGGUUAAAAUCUGUUAAUAUCACCUGAGGUGAAUGUCCUAAGCUUUCCCUGACAACUCUGCUGGCUGCUAGCUAUGCUUUUGUGCCUUCAUUUCCAGCCCAGGGCCAGACACACUCCUUUCCAUUUCCUCGGGAAGAAGACUGAGUGAAAUUAGCAGAUGACUGCGGCAACUGUAUCGCCUCUUUGCUCUGUCCCUUGCAGCCUGCACUCACUGCCAGUGGUCAACCUACCUGGUCACAGGGGCAAUGUGAAAGAAGUAAAGGAGGAAAUUCAAGUGCAAGAAGCAGAAGAAGGAUGA